Molecule: ribosomal RNA, 253 nt
Filed under: uncultured bacterium
Lineage: Bacteria
Description: partial 16S ribosomal RNA
Rfam family: Bacterial small subunit ribosomal RNA
Source: RNAcentral
UACGUAUGGUGCAAGCGUUGUCCGGAUUUACUGGGUGUAAAGGGAGCGCAGGCGGCACGGCAAGCCUGAUGUGAAAGCCCGCGGCCCAACCGCGGGACUGCAUUGGGAACUACCGGGCUGGAGUGCCGGAGAGGUAGGCGGAAUUCCUAGUGUAGCGGUGAAAUGCGUAGAUAUUAGGAGGAACACCAGUGGCGAAGGCGGCCUACUGGACGGUGACUGACGCUGAGGCUCGAAAGCGUGGGGAGCAAACAGG